CAGGGAGUAGUUUAAAGUAAGAAUAUCAGCUUUGGGAGUUGAAGGUGGAAUGGAU
Molecule: transfer RNA, 55 nt
Filed under: Sciurus vulgaris (Eurasian red squirrel)
Lineage: Eukaryota; Metazoa; Chordata; Mammalia; Rodentia; Sciuridae
Description: partial tRNA-Pro
Source: RNAcentral